Anolis sagrei ordinatus is the source of this 1216-nucleotide non-coding RNA. NCBI's taxonomy places the organism in Eukaryota, Metazoa, Chordata, Lepidosauria, Squamata, Anolidae. The record is from RefSeq and is a predicted model, not a curated record.
ACUUCAACAUAUAUAGAAGUAAGUUUGUAUGGCUUAUGGAUGGCAAAAGCUUUUUAAAAUAAAAAGAACAGGUGGAUAGAAGCAGUCAGGAAUGGAUAGCAUUGUUUUGGGUCCUGUGGUGAAGUUGGGAAGGUAUCUUUAACUUUUCCUAAUCAGUUUUUGCAUGCCACUAUUUGCACUUCUUUUCAGCAGGGAGAUGUUCCAGGUGCUGCUGUCACCAACUCGCUGAAUAUGAUAAGCCCUCAAAAUAGCCAGCUCUCUUGUUCUCCAAUUCACCAGCCAUCUGUUCCUUACUAUGAGUUUCCUGCAUCCACUGUGGUUGGCAUACUACCUGCCCAGCCCCAAAUCCCAUUGGGAGUGGCGCCUUUUCUGCCCRCCCCGGUCUCUUCUCCGGGAUUCCAGCCUGAUACUCUGCAGGGGCAAAGCACACCUUUARGACAAGCAUCAAGUGGCAGCACCAGCUCAAAUCCUAAUGCAGCCUUUGUCUCCAGGAUAGCUCUCACCUCUGCCAACCCCCCGGACCUCUCAACAACACACCCUGGCAGCUCAGGAUCCUGGCCACUUGGCGGCAGACGAUCUAAGCAAAGCCCUUCAAAUACAAGAGCCCACCACUCAAAAUAGAAGAYGGGACCUACCACUGACAGAAGGCACAAGGUCUGCAGAGAGUUCUGGGGAAAGUCUCCCUGGCUGUGAACCGGCUCCGACGGAAGGAGAGGGUUCAGAACCUCCCCAUAAAAAAUAGCGAAUGAAUCCCACUGGUGGGACCCGUGAAUCUUCUUUGACUCAGGAACUUUUUGCUGUUCUCCAAAAGCACGUUUCCCUUGCUAUAAACCAAAAUAUGGAGAAAGUGAGUGACAUGGUGAGCAGGUUGCAUGGCACUGCCUUAAAGGAUACAGAAGAAGCAAAAGCCCUGAGUGCCGCUUUGGAAAAAGCUCUGGCACUUUUGAGGUUCCUCUUUGAAWAUGCCUGAUAUAAAUCUGGGGUGUGAAAUGGGUUUGGGGGUAGCGUUGUGUACCCAAGAAAGAAACCUAGAGACACGAAAUUAGGAAAGGAAUUUACCUCAAGUAAUACUGUACAACAUGACCCUUGUGUGCAUUGUGGAUAUGUUCAAAAUCCCAGUGAGAUUCCUAAAAUGGUGGAUAAAAAUAAACCCUACAUCUUUCGGCCGUGAAUGUACCAUAGAAUUGCACAAAAAUCCUGACUAUAUGAAAUGAUA